GCGAACCUGACUUCAUGACAGCGGCAAAGAUGAUCCUCCAUGACUGGCAGAGAGGUAAGAUUCCCUUCUUCGUCCCUCCUCCUCAUCAAGAAGACGAUUCUUCAGCGGAACCCAAUGUAUGUGGGUUAAACGAGGAGGCAGUUGGCGAUAACAAUCAGGCAUCCGCAGCCCUCAAAGUAAUUGCUAGCGUUAUGUCGUCCCAGCAGCAAAGAAAUGUCCCUGUUCAAAGGGAUCUCUUCGGCGAGAAUGAGUUGAAGGAUGGGACAAUAGAUCAACAUCCAGACACGGAUGCCAAGGCAUCUGACCGGCCAUCGGAAUCGGAGGCAUCUGACCAGCCAUCUGACUCUGAUUCAGAAUCGGAAUCUGACGAAGAUCAGCCCCCGGCAAGUGACUCAGAGAAAUAAUGAAAGGAGAAAGAAAACAGUUUUGCAUGCUGUUUUAUUUUAUAUUAAUAAGCAAAUCAAAAUUUUGUAGUUUGGGUAAUUGUUUUAUUUUUUGGUUUUCAACAAGUUGAAUUGUAAGUUCGUCAAUGUAGUCAAUUUCCUUAAAUCUCAUCCUAGUAGAUCACAUUGUUUAAGUGCAAUUCGGUUUCAAUCUUCAUCACUAUGGAAUAUUAAUAGGAUUAAUAUGAAACUGUUUUUCCAAAGAGGGCUGUGAUUAAGUUAUAUUAUUUGUAGCUUAUAUUAAUUUAAAAUUAUUUUUUUUUAAUUCUUGUUAUGGGUCUGUUAUUGCCUAUCUCAUGAAAAAUUAUUUUUGGGUGAAGGUGCAGGGCAGCUGUUGUUUAUAUUUUGAUGAUUUUUAUUUGGUAUUAUUUGUUGAUUGUGUUCGAUUGUGAAGAGCUAUUUCUUUGACGGUCAUAAAAUUUCGAGAAGGGACACGAGUGGCCAAAAUUAGACGACCAGCCAUCGUUGUCUUAAGUUAAAGUCGCAUGGCAUGUGGAAUGGUAUGCGGUGGUUACGAGUAAUUAAUUAAUAGGCAGAUGCAUGUGAAAUUCAGUAGUGUUUUCUUUAAUUUUGUUUUUGUGAAAUUCAGUAGUGUUUUCUUUAAUUUUGUUUUUGUGAAAUUCAGUAGUGUUUUCUUUAAUUUUGUUUUUGUGAAAUUCAGUAGUGUUUUCUUUAAUUUUGUUUUUGUGAAAUUCAGUAGUGUUUUCUUUAAUUUUGUUUUUGUGAAAUUCAGUAGUGUUUUCUUUAAUUUUGUUUUUGUGAAAUUCAGUAGUGUUUUCUUUAAUUUUGUUUUUGUGAAAUUCAGUAGUGUUUUCUUUAAUUUUGUUUUUGUGAAAUUCAGUAGUGUUUUCUUUAAUUUUGUUUUUGUGAAAUUCAGUAGUGUUUUCUUUAAUUUUGUUUUUAUUUGAUUGGAGCGCUUUGAAAGUGACAAGUACUCUUUAAUUUUGUCUUUAUUUGAUUGAAGCGCUUUGAAAGUGACGUGUACGUAGAACACUAAUCUCUCCUUGAUAGAUAUAUAGGAAUUGUUUUAUUUAAUUUUGCCUUUAUUUGAUUGGAGCGCUUUGAAAGUGACGUGUAUUCUUUAAUUUUACCUUUAUUUGAUUAAAGGGCUUUGAAAGUGAUGUGUACGUAGAACGCUAAUCUCUCCUUGAUAGAUAUACAAGAAUUAGAAAUAUGGUAGCGGCCAUCGUUUUCACUAUUAUUUUGUCAAUUUAAAAGGAUAUUUUGUCAAUUCAAAAGCCUAACUGGUGGAACCGUGGAAAUUAAAAUGUUAAUUAACCCCCAAGGACUUAUUGUUUUUUGUCUUUGUGUUGAACAAGAGGUUUUGUCUGUGAUAUACUCCUUCAAAAUACCCUUAAUAGUUCUAAACUUACAAAAAAAAUAAAAAAUAAACAAUCGAUCAGGCUACGGUGCAACUGUAGUACCGUGCCACAGUUGCAUCCAACCGUUAGAUGCACUUGGAUUGAUAGGGUCCACUAACAUCCAACGGCUGGAUGCAACUGUAGCAUGGUACCACAGUUGCAUCACAUGUUUCCCCUAAACAAUCUACACUCUUUAUUUUACUUUUAAAAAAUAUUCUUUACUCCCCUAUAAAUGACAAGAACACUUUAGAGUAUUUGAGAUCUUAGAGAAUUUUUUUCUUGCCGCGGCUUUACAUCAGCAGUUUCAACACUUAAAUUUUAUUUUACUUUAAUUACAACUUGAAUUUCAACAAUAAUUAAGAAAAUUUUAAAAAAUUUCAAAAAUAAGGAGUCAAGAAUGUAUCUUUUACUUCUACAUAAUUAUUAUAAAAAUAGAUAAUUAAGAAGAAAUGGUAGUAACAAGAAAAUUGAGAUGACGAAUUCAGUAAUGGGACUAUGUACUUUGUAUUUCAAGAAACUUUUUUUUAAUUUAAAAAAUGAUUUAAUUGAAUGCAAUAAUUUUUUUUGUCGAAAAGAGAGCAAUAAAUUUUUGAAAAAUGAUAUUUGAACGCCAAGAAAAAAUCAUCAGGACAAAAACGAUAUCAUUAUAGCAUGAUAAUGCUGUUGUCUUUUGUGCUAUGAUGAUACUGUAGCAUGAUCAGUAAUCUUACAUUUUUUUUAAGUGUUCAUGGUGUUCGAAUAUCAAUGCUCUAUAUUAUUUUAGUCAUUGUUUAUUUUUUGUGUAUUGAUUUAUGAGAGUAUAAGACUUUUUUUAAGAGAAAUUAAAAAGAAUAAUAAUAAAAGUAAAAAAUUUCUAACAUUAAAUAAAAAAUUAUUUUUGAAAAUUGAAAGUGUAAAGAAUUCAAUUUAUUUCCUUAGAAAAACUAAUAAUGAAUGAAUUAGUUGACAUACAAUAUUAUUAUUUAUAACUCUUUAAACUAAAAAAAUAAAUUUUAAUUAUAAGAUAAUUAGUAAUGAUAGUAAUGUUUAAAAACAUAUUUUCUUACAAUAUUUAACUUAAAAAAAUUCAUUAAUUAAAAUAUUAUUAAAAAAAUAUUAGUCUAUACUUAAAACCAUCAAAUGUUUAAAUUCGUGAGUGGAGUGGUGACCUACAUACAUGUGAAAUCUUAAUUGCAUAAUACAAUUCAUUACCAAAAAAAGAAAAAAAAAACACAUAGCACAUGUAAUGAUUUGCACAACUUGUGAUACUAAGUCUAACGAAUAUAAGUCAAAUCAAUUCUCAAUGUGCAACAACCCGUUAAUUGUUUUCUUAUUAUAAAAAUAAAUAAUCAAAGUAAUAUAUCAUUUUAGUUAAUAAUAUUUACUAUGUUUUUUUUUUUACUUUACGCCUCUGUAGAGAACCCACCUAACCCAUCGCUAAUUCUAAUCUAUACUAACAAUAAUGUCUAACCUAUUUUAAUAACAUUAAAUAGAGACUAAUAGUCUAAUACGCAUAAAAAUUAAAAUACUAUUUCAUAAAUCUUAAAGUCUGAAAUUAAUAACAAAUAAAUAAACUGUCACGUUUACAAAAAAAUUCAACUAAAUGGUUAUUGGUGAAGAUUAGGAAUUGAAAUUUAUGUUCUUAAAAAAUAAUGAAUUAUUUAUUAUUAUUUUUUAAUUAAGGACCUGUUCUUUGUAUCUAGUGAGAUUCUUCUUCUGGUGAGUGUGCUGCUGCAUGCAGCAUGUUCCAGCUAACCAAGAAAAGCGGUGAUUUUUUUUUUUUUUUUAAAUCAGUUUCCAAAUGAAAAAUAAAAUAAUAUAAAAAGACCCAUUCACCCUAAACGACAUCGUAUCCCGCCAAAUUAAAACGAACUUCCAUUAACGUGGUUUAAAAACUGCACUGCACAGAUCUCUCUGCAAACUACAGUACUGCAAACACGGAGGGGUAAUUUUUAAAAACCUCCCCUGAGAUUUGGACUUGUUGCAAAUAGAUGGUGAGAAUUGAUUUAUUUGUAAACAAUCCCCUACCGUCAGUUAAGUUUAACAUUAACCGUUAGUUGACCGUACAAAAAUAAUAUUACCCUUAACAAUAGUUUAUAAACGAAAAUAACUAAAAAAAAAUCAAAAUUAUUAGCUAUUUUACACUUUUUAAAUUAUUGAUAUUUUCUUAAAGUUCCUAUAAAAAAGUUAAAAUUAAAAAAUUAAAAAAUUAAAAAAUCCUCUUUAAAUUAUUGAUAUUUCCUUAAAAUUCCUACAAGAAAGAUAAAAUUAAAAAUUUAAAAAUGAAAUAGUCAUAAUCUUUACCUAUGAUAUUGUAAAUUUUUAGAAUUGACAAGGAUAAAAUUAUCAAAAAAUAAGAUUUGUGCUUUUUGCACCAAUAAUUUUGGUUUUUUUUUAGUUAUUUUCGUUUACAAACUAUUGUUAAGGGUAAUAUUGUCUUUGCAUGGUCAAUUAACGGUCAAUGUUAAACUUAACUGACGGUAGGGGGUUUUUUACAAAUAAAUCAAUUCUCGCCAUCUACUUGCAACAAGCCCAAACGUCAGGAGAGAUUUUUAAAAAUUACCCAAACACGGAGUAUUAAAAAAUUAUAUAAAAAAAAAAUUUCUAAAAAGAAAAAGAAAAAUUAAAAGUCCCCAGGUCGUUUCUGGUGAGGGCUCAUCGUUCUUUUCGCCGUUUCAUAAUUAAAAAAAGAAAAGGAAAAAAAUCAUUGCUAGCGUUAUGUCGUCCCAGCAGCAAAGAAAUGUCCCUGUUCAAAGUGAUCUCUUCGGCGAGAAUGAGUUGAAGGAUGGGACAAUAGAUCAACAUCCAGACAUGGAUGCCAAGGCAUCUGACCGGCCAUCGGAGUCGGAGGCAUCUGACCAGCCAUCUGACUCUGAUUCAGAAUCGGAAUCUGACGAAGAUCAGCCCCCGGCAAGUGACUCGGAGAAAGAAAACAGCUUUGCAUGCUGUUUUAUUUUAUAUUAAUAAGCAAAUCAAAAUUUUGUACUUUGGACAAUUGUUUUAUUUUUUGGUUUUCAACAAGUUGAAUUGUAAGUUCGUCAAUGUAGUCAAUUUCCUUAAAUCUCAUCCUAGUAGAUCACAUUGUUUAAGCUACGUGCAAUUCGGUUUCAAUCUUCAUCACUAUGGAAUAUUAAUAGGAUUAAUAUGAAACUGUUUUUUCCAAAGAGGGCUGUGAUUAAGUUAUAUUAUUUGUAGCUUAUGUUAAUUUAAAAUCAUUUUUUUUUAAUUCUUGUUAUGGGUCUGUUAUUGCCUAUCUCAUGAAAAAUUAUUUUUGGGUGAAGGUGCAGAGCAGCUGUGGUUUAUAUUUUGAUGAUUUUUAUUUGGUAUUAUUUGUUGAUUGCGUUCAAUUGUGAAGAGCUGUUUGUUUGACGGUCAUAUAGUUUCGAGAAGGGACACGAGUGGCCAAGAUUAGACGACCAGCCAUCGUUGUCUUAAGUUAAAGUCGCAUGGCAUGUGGAAUGGUAUGCGGUGGUUACGAGUAAUUAAUUAGGCAAAUGUUAAGUUACAAUAAUUGUAACAUACAUUCCUCAUGUGAACCACACAAAUUGUG
This 5333-nucleotide long non-coding RNA is filed under the name Citrus sinensis (sweet orange). RNAcentral's name for it is "long non-coding RNA (CSIN_LNC000094)". Lineage: Eukaryota; Viridiplantae; Streptophyta; Magnoliopsida; Sapindales; Rutaceae. The record is from RNAcentral.